This 851-nucleotide long non-coding RNA is filed under the name Homo sapiens (human). Its description in RNAcentral is "HSALNT0321011". The record is from RNAcentral. Lineage: Eukaryota; Metazoa; Chordata; Mammalia; Primates; Hominidae.
GAAAAUAUGUAUUUGUAACUUCAAGCUGUUAAAUUUGUAGUGAUUUGUUAUGCAGCAAUGGAUGACUAGUAUAAUGGAUCAACUCACUUAAAUUUGGGAACUUCAGCAUGAAAAUAGCCUGCUGAAAGAAUUCACUUUGAAAAUGCCACAAAACAGACAAUGGAAAAAUGAGGGUCAUCAGAACUACAUCUUCCUAAGAGGGAAAGAAACACCCAAUAACAUCUUGGCAGGUGCUGCAUAAUCAUGCCUCAAAUGACUUUCUGAAGAUAAAAAGAAAGUGGUACUUGCUUGCAUAACUGAACAUAUCUGCCUGAGUUGUUUUCCUACAGAUGUUAUCCUGGGAAUAGAAACAAAAUUGUUCAUUCCCUAGCAGCCUUCAAGAAGCACUGUGAUCUAGGGCAGCACAGAGCCAGCAAUGAGAGACAGAAUGACAUUCACAAUUCUAGAAGAAAACACUGGAGUGGAAUAUACACAGAAUGGCUGUUUGGUCUCAAGACUGCAUGAAUUAUUAUCCGGCUAUGCUGGAUGUUCUAAUUCCUUUCUCUCAGAGGACUGUAGGUAGAUACAUAUGCUGACUACAUAUGUGGAUAACACUGUCGAAUGCCAGUUUUCACUAAUAGUGUUUGUGUUAAGCUCUCUAAACUUUUUAGGCUGGCACUAUUUGUGGCCAAAAGCAUAUUCUAAAGUAUAAAUCCUUGAGAGCAGUGACUGUCUCUUAUUCAACUUUGUAUUUGCAGCUUGAUCCUAGUGCAUAUGCAGUAUCAUAAAUGCUUUUGACAUUAAAGAUCUUUUAUAUUCAAGCUAUAGUUACAACUCAAGGGAGCUUAAGAGUAGGGAUUAUAAAAUACCAG